UGAGCCGGUUGGGUGACCGCGGGCCGGCUUGACCGGUUCGAGGAAAGUCGGGGCUCCAAAGGGCAAGGUGCUGGCGAAGAACCAGUCGGAGUGAUCCGCAGGAAAGUGCAACAGAAAGCAAACCGCCGAUGGCCCGGGCAACCGGGCACAGGUAAGGGUGAAACGGUGCGGUAAGAGCGCACCAGCAUUCGAAGCGAUUCGGAUGGCUCUGUAAACCCCACCUGGAGCAAGGCCGAGCGUCGGGAUUGACUGCCCGUCAGUUGUUUCGAAAGAG
This 274-nucleotide RNase P RNA is filed under the name Actinomycetota bacterium. Its description in RNAcentral is "Actinobacteria bacterium partial RNase P RNA component class A". It matches the Rfam family "Bacterial RNase P class A", at positions 1 to 274 of the family's 367-position model. From Rfam's summary of the family: Ribonuclease P (RNase P) is a ubiquitous endoribonuclease, found in archaea, bacteria and eukarya as well as chloroplasts and mitochondria. Its best characterised activity is the generation of mature 5'-ends of tRNAs by cleaving the 5'-leader elements of precursor-tRNAs. Lineage: Bacteria; Bacillati; Actinomycetota. The record is from RNAcentral.